This 480-nucleotide ribosomal RNA is filed under the name uncultured bacterium. Its description in RNAcentral is "bacterial SSU rRNA". It matches the Rfam family "Bacterial small subunit ribosomal RNA", at positions 29 to 482 of the family's 1533-position model. The record is from RNAcentral.
AAUGAACGCUGGCGGCGUGCUUAACACAUGCAAGUCGAAUGAGAAAGGGAUUGCUUGCAGUCCCGAGUAGAGUGGCGCACGGGUGAGUAACACGUAGAUAAUCUGCCUUCAAGCCUGGAAUAACUAUUCGAAAGGGUAGCUAAUACCGGAUAAAGUCGGUUCACACAAGUGGAUUGAUGAAAGAUUGCCUCUUCUUGAAAGCAAUUGUUUGGAGAUGAGUUUGCGUACCAUUAGCUAGUUGGUGGGGUAAAGGCCUACCAAGGCGACGAUGGUUAGCUGGUCUGAGAGGAUGAUCAGCCACACUGGAACUGGAACACGGUCCAGACUCCUACGGGAGGCAGCAGUGAGGAAUUUUGCGCAAUGGGGGCAACCCUGACGCAGCAACGCCGCGUGAGUGAAGAAGGCCUUUGGGUCGUAAAGCUCUGUCAACAGGGAAGAAGUUACAGGUGUUUAAUAGACAUUUGUAUUGACGGUACCUGU